AACAAAUCCCCGCACCGUACCCCGCACUGCACAAAGUCGACAUACCUUGCAUCAUCCAUCCAAUAAAAAGACGGCAUUUUUAAGAAUGUCUUCAGGCCAUCUUGACUCUCAGAUGAACGGCCUGAAUCAAAGGAGUACGUACUCUUCAGCAUGACCAUACUGCGCUCUCACAAGAAGCUUCAAGGGCACGUUUCUUCGUUCUUCUGCCUUAUAUGUACAAUGGUCACUCUUGGUCUCGGUUCUCUGUUGCGAGAAUUGGAUCUCUCAGGCGCUCCCAUUGAUGGGAGAUCCGAAAAAUCCCGCGACGGCGGCGUUUAUUUCGCUCCCGCCUGGCUGCCGAUUCCACCCCUCCGAGGAACAGCUUCUCCGCCACUAUCUCGCCGGCAAGAACAACGCUUCCGGUGGCUCUGAUUGCGGCUGCGAUGUGAUCAAGGUCGUUGAUUUAUAUGAUCGCAUGCCGUUUGACUUGCCGGGGACGGCGUGCUUUGCGUACGGCAAUCGCGGUAGGAGGCGGCACUGGUACUGUUACACGGCUAGGGUUUUGAAGGGAGGGAGGAAGAGGAGCGCGAGGGGUGGCUAUUGGAAGAGAGAGGGAAGAGUAAGGAAUGUGGUGGGUAGGGAAGAGAAGGUGGUUUUGGGGAAGAGGAAGUGUUUCGUGUUUUAUUUAAUGGAUUCGCCGAAAAGCGCCGCGAGGACCGACUGGGUUAUGCAUGAGUAUGCUUUAGCCGGUCACUCUCAGGCACCUUUUGUCCUCUGUCGAGUGUUUGUCAAAUCUUGCGGUGGGAAUAACACAUCGGAACAUGUUUUAAGUUCUUGUGCUGAAGAAAGUAUUGGAACAGUUAGGCAUAUUGGUGUUCAGCAUGAUGGCUUCAUUACACCAGACACUGUUGAAGCUAAAACAUGCUUGAAUGAUUGUGUUGACCAGAAGAAUGGGGAUUCAUUAUGUCCAACACAACAGUAUGGUGAAAUAAAUGGUCAGGUUGCUGCUGGAUCUGUUUCUGGUUCUGGAUUUCCGUAUUCUUUGGGCAUUCCACCUAACAUCCCGGUUAGAUCAAUGGGACAUAUCAGUGGUGGUGCUCAGUCUGUUGGUGAUAUGACUACUAAGGAAUUAAUUUCUAUUUUACAGGAAGAUUUCAUAGAGUUGGAUGACCUCGAAUGCCCACUUUUGGGUGUGGACUAGCAUGGUAGAUGUUUAAGCACUUGUUUUCCAAGCUGUGAAUGAUUAGUAAUCUUGAUGCUUUGGUUAGCUGUUGCCGGAAAGGCUGAAACAAUUGUUCUGAGAGAAGCAUAGAAAUUGGGAUUGCUUGAGGAAAAACUCCACCACACGUACGGAGUUGUCACCGUCAUGGUAAAGACUUGUUCUGAGAAGUGUAAAAAUUGGAAUUGCUUAAGAAGAAACCUCGAAUGAAAUAACUGUUAAGUUCACAGCAUCAUGGCAAGGAUUGCUUCACCUGUUAAGAUUUGCUCUGUUGCAAUUUAACAGGAGUUUUGCUCCAGUGGAAUGAGAUUGAGAAAGCAGUUUAUGAAUUGGGUGAUUUGAAAACCAAAUUGUUCGAUUGAUGUCAGCUACAGGCUGCCUGCUCAUCCGUCUGCUGCUCCCAUGAUAGUGAAGUUAAAUUAUUAAUCGGUUAAGCUAUUAGUGUUUUUGGGAAAAUUUCUUGUAUUCCAUCAUCUUGAGCAAUGCCUCCUUUCCCCCCAUCUAUUUUUAGCGUGGCACUUCUCACGGUGGGAGCUCUGCUCCUCUUGCUUGUGCUGGUUCUCUGUUUCUGAAUUUCCUUGUAGGUGGUAAGACGAAUAUGCUAUUUUGGAUGCUAAAUGAAUCACUACGUUGAUUUCAUGCUUAAA
This is an RNA transcript of Malania oleifera, 1845 nucleotides long. It is a transcript of the gene named NAC domain-containing protein 72-like, with no coding region annotated. The record is from RefSeq and is a predicted model, not a curated record. The transcript is spliced from 4 exons. NCBI's taxonomy places the organism in Eukaryota, Viridiplantae, Streptophyta, Magnoliopsida, Santalales, Ximeniaceae.